Molecule: ribosomal RNA, 370 nt
Filed under: uncultured bacterium
Lineage: Bacteria
Description: bacterial SSU rRNA
Rfam family: Bacterial small subunit ribosomal RNA
Source: RNAcentral
CUAUGCGCCUUGCCAGCCCGCUCAGUCAGAGUUUGAUCCUGGCUCAGAGCGAACGCUGGCGGCGUACUUAACACAUGCAAGUCGAACGGGGAGUUCGCGGGUAGCAAUACUCGCGGGCUUCUAGUGGCGCACGGGUGAGUAACACGUGAGUGACCUGCCCUUGGGUCCGGGAUACCCCUUCGAAAGGAGGGCUAAUACCGGGUACGUUCUUCUGGCUGCGAGGCUGGGAGAGGACAGGCCGUGGCAACACGGUCGCCGAAGGAGGGGCUCGCGGCCUAUCAGCUAGUUGGCGGGGUAAUGCCACCAAGGCGAUGACGGGUAGCUGGUCUGAGAGGACGACCAGCCACACGGGGACUGAGACACGGCCCCG